GAAAAAUACGCAUCAGCAAAUCAAAUUUGAGCAAGAAAAUCAAGCCAAAUCCUCCCAUGAAGAAUUCAGCCAAAGUAUGAAGUCCUAUUCCUAGUGGAAUUUCACCUAGCAAUACUAUAUAAAGGGGUCUUAGGAAUGAUGAGAGGACAUUCACUGGCAUCAGAAAUUUCAUACUACUCCCCUCUCUCUCAUAGUGGCCGAAUACUACUUAAGAAAAUCUAGGGAUUGUUACAUUAAAGAUUCCUUAGGUUUUUGCAAGUAUAAGGAGGCUACUAUUGUGCAUACAUCAUAGUGUACUUGUGGUUGCUUUUAAGUUGAAGAAUUGAGUUGUUUGGAGCAUCAUAGCCCAUGGCAGCAAGGAGUUAAUCAAGUUGGAGAUUUGUUUGGCGCAACCUUAGUGUGGCCGCAUAUUUAUCUUGGUGUAUCUUCAAAGGAUUUCAAGUGUAUUUAAUCAGGGAAUAUGUUUUUCAUAACUAUAUCUCUUUUAUUUUGUGUUUUGUUUUUAGCUAUGUGUGAGUAGAUUAGAUUCUUAGCAUAGAUGCCAUGAAGCUACAAAGUUAACAUUAUGAAACCUUGAUUCUGUUUUAAUGAGAAAGCUUAAUUUUAUUAAUAUAUUCAUAUACUUUUGUGAUUGAAUCAAUAAAUACAUGUUAUUAGGGUGCACUCUAUUUUUCAU
This 676-nucleotide unclassified non-coding RNA is filed under the name Hevea brasiliensis (rubber tree). The record is from RNAcentral. Lineage: Eukaryota; Viridiplantae; Streptophyta; Magnoliopsida; Malpighiales; Euphorbiaceae.